GAUGAACGCUGGCGGCGUGCCUAAUACAUGCAAGUCGAGCGAACAGACGAGGAGCUUGCUCCUCUGACGUUAGCGGCGGACGGGUGAGUAACACGUGGAUAACCUACCUAUAAGACUGGGAUAACUUCGGGAAACCGGAGCUAAUAUCGGAUAAUAUAUUGAACCGCAUGGUUCAAUAGUGAAAGACGGUUUUGCUGUCACUUAUAGAUGGAUCCGCGCCGCAUUAGCUAGUUGGUAAGGUAACGGCUUACCAAGGCAACGAUGCGUAGCCGACCUGAGAGGGUGAUCGGCCACACGGGAACUGAGACACGGUCCAGACUCCUACGGGAGGCAGCAGUAGGGAAUCUUCCGCAAUGGGCGAAAGCCUGACGGAGCAACGCCGCGUGAGUGAAGAAGGUCUUCGGAUCGUAAAACUCUGUUAUUAGGGAAGAACAAAUGUGUAAGUAACUAUGCACGUCUUGACGGUACCUAAUCAGAAAGCCACGGCUAACUACGUG
Molecule: ribosomal RNA, 497 nt
Filed under: uncultured bacterium
Lineage: Bacteria
Description: partial 16S ribosomal RNA
Rfam family: Bacterial small subunit ribosomal RNA
Source: RNAcentral